CUACUAGAAAUCUGUUCAUAGACAUCGCAUGUUUUAAAUCGGUCAGACUUGCACACGAUGUAAAAACGUAAUCUAACAUCGUUUUACGAAAAUACCGAUUUAAAUGUAUAUCAUUAGCAUCGGGUCUUAAAAUGACCGGUGUUAAAAGUUUUGUUUGAAAAUUUGCGGGAACCUAUUUUUGCAAAACGCGCUAAGUGUUUUAAGUGAAUUGAAGAAGCGGGUACUAAAUCUAAAAACUUUCACACUUAGAAAAAAAAAAAUUAAAGCCCGAUCCCAAAAGUUAGACAGAAAACCCUAAGCUCUCGCGCGGCCUCCUUCUCACUCGAACUUGCCUUCAUUCUAAACUCACCCCAAUCUGGAUCUCCUCCCAAACCCGACCUCCAUCUCCUCCCUUCCUUCCUUCCUUCAUCUACGUCCUCAGCUUCUUCGGCAUCAACUCCGUCCAGUCUGGCAUCGACUUCGUCCAGUCCGGCAUCGACUUCGUCCAGUCCGUCCUCAGCUUAUUUGUCGAAGCAUUUCUAAACAGCGCCGUUCAGUCUUAGCCUGUGGAAUCGAAUCAAGAGAGCGGCGGCCAGUCGGCGCGACUCACUUCAGAGAACGACUCCGUUGUGGGAUUCGAAGGAUUUGCCUGUAGAAGGAUUCUAGGAGUCGCCGGUCGGAGGCGAAGUAAUCUUAACUUCCCAUCGUUUGCUUUGUGGAAACCUAGACCUAAGAAUAUGCUGCUUGACUAGAAACAACAGAGCCUCAAGAUUGGCGAUGGGAUCAGUCAGUCUUUCACUUUCUUUUGCGAGUUUUUAUGCUGGACAUGGUCACUCUCUGUUACCAGGUGCUGGAGAUUUUGCUUGGGUCCACAGAUUACUUGACUUGGCGGACAUUUGGAACCUCGGCUGCAUCUUCGGUUUUCGCACGAUUUACACCUCUACAAUGUGGCUGGAUUCUUGGACUAAGAAUGAGAUGGACCUGGGUUUCUUGGUAUAUAAAUAUGCAGUGCGCUUUGGGUUGUCUUCAAAGAGCUUUUGUGACCUUAUCACUGAUAUGGGUUCUCAUGGGUGUACAGGGGUGGAAUUAUGAUUUCUUAUUUUGAAAGUUGAUGAUUAUACUUCUUGAAUCUCCAUAUAUUGCAGCUUUUUACCAUUUGGAAUUGUAUUAAUAAGGUCAUAUCUACUAUAUCAAGUUAAUCGAGAGAUGCUAGUAUGACAUGCAAGAUGUAAUAUAUACCGGUCAUGACAUUGUUGAUGCAUGUAAGAGCAGUAAGUUCCUUUAUUUGAAUCAAUAGAUUUAACUUUGACCUCAACUAGCAACCUUCCAUGGAUACAUGUCACCUCAACUAGCAAUUUGACUUAAAUGUCUACAUUGGUAUCAUUCUUUGUCACAACAUUUCUGAUACAAUCUGUUUACUUAGGUGCUGAUCUCCAAAAGGGAAUAGCCAGAGGCUCCUCUUUCCCCUGCAAUGGAUGCUGUAAUAAGAGUAUUCAAACGUGUCGCUGGAUUAUCUAAGUGUGCAGGCGAGGCAGAGUUGUCUGGUGCUGCUGGAGUUGCAUUCUGUUCCAUCCGUUUGUUGGUAGCAUCCACACAAGCGAUUAAUUUAAUUGGAAAACAAGGAUCAUUAAUCAAAUCUAUAGAGGAGAGUACCGCUGCUUCUGUGCGAGUGUUGUCUGGAGGGCCUUGGAUUACAAGUUGUGAAAUAUUUGGCUGCCAAAUAUGAAGAGCUAGGGUGUGAAGUGAAAUGGAUGGGCAAGCCUGAUAAGGUGAUCUAGUCACAUUGGUCUGGUUACCGCUGUUAACUUCACUUCAUGUGAACCUUUAGCUUAAUACAUAUUUCUCUUGCACUUGACUACUAAGAUGAAUUUUGAGCAAGGCUAGUUUUUGCUUUGAAGCAAAGUUUGGUGUUGAAAUUUUGUAGAUUGUUGCUCAUAUGUUUCUAGGCUAGCCUUUGUAGGUUUUGGGGUUUUCUUUUGUGACAUAUGUUCAAUCAUGAAUUUGGAAAGAAAAUUAAGGAGAGCCCCAAUUUUUGGAUGAUUAUGAAAUGCAUUUCUUUUCCUAGCAGCAGCUAG
Long non-coding RNA from Rosa rugosa (rugosa rose), 2054 nucleotides. RefSeq lists it as uncharacterized. The transcript is spliced from 4 exons. The record is from RefSeq and is a predicted model, not a curated record. Lineage: Eukaryota; Viridiplantae; Streptophyta; Magnoliopsida; Rosales; Rosaceae.